Molecule: small nuclear RNA, 104 nt
Organism: Prionailurus viverrinus (fishing cat)
Lineage: Eukaryota; Metazoa; Chordata; Mammalia; Carnivora; Felidae
Source: RefSeq, a predicted model, not a curated record
GUGCUUUCAGCAGUACAUAUACAAAAAUUGGGACAAUACAGAGAAGUUUAGCAUGGUCCCUGCUCAAGGAUGACACACAAAUUCAUGAAGCGUUCCAUAUUUUU